GGGAAAUUAGUUAAGUGGUAUAAUGCUACCUUUGGGUGGUAGCGUCCUGAGUUCGAUUCUCGGAUUUCCCC
This is a transfer RNA of Dictyostelium purpureum, 71 nucleotides long. It matches the Rfam family "tRNA". From Rfam's summary of the family: Transfer RNA (tRNA) molecules are approximately 80 nucleotides in length. The record is from Rfam. Lineage: Eukaryota; Evosea; Eumycetozoa; Dictyosteliales; Dictyosteliaceae.